RNAcentral lists this ribosomal RNA (458 nucleotides) under uncultured bacterium. Its description in RNAcentral is "partial 16S ribosomal RNA". It matches the Rfam family "Bacterial small subunit ribosomal RNA", at positions 338 to 795 of the family's 1533-position model. The record is from RNAcentral.
CCUACGGGUGGCAGCAGUGGGGAAUAUUGCACAAUGGGGGAAACCCUGAUGCAGCGACGCCGCGUGAGUGAAGAAGUAAUUCGUUACGUAAAGCUCUAUCAGCAGGGAAGAAACACUGACCUUACGGUCAGCAGACGGUACCUGAGUAAGAAGCCCCGGCUAACUACGUGCCAGCAGCCGCGGUAAUACGUAGGGGGCAAGCGUUAUCCGGGUUUACUGGGUGUAAAGGGGGCGUAGACGGUGCGCCAAGUCUGGGGUGAAAUGCCGAAGCUUAACUGCGGAACUGCUUUGGAAACUGGCGAACUAGAGUGCGGGAGGGGUAAGCGGAAUGCCUAGUGUAGCGGUGAAAUGCGUAGAUAUUAGGAGGAACACCGGUGGCGAAGGCGGCUUACUGGACCGUAACUGACGUUGAGGCUCGAAAGCGUGGGGAGCAAACAGGAUUAGAUACCCGAGUAGUC